RNAcentral lists this ribosomal RNA (442 nucleotides) under uncultured bacterium. RNAcentral describes it as "partial 16S ribosomal RNA". It matches the Rfam family "Bacterial small subunit ribosomal RNA", at positions 338 to 795 of the family's 1533-position model. The record is from RNAcentral.
CCUACGGGAGGCAGCAGUGGGGAAUAUUGCACAAUGGGGGGAACCCUGAUGCAGCGACGCCGCGUGAGUGAAGAAGUACUUCGGUACGUAAAGCUCUAUCAGCAGGGAAGAAAAAAGGACGGUACCUGAGUAAGAAGCCUCGGCUAACUACGUGCCAGCAGCCGCGGUAAUACGUAGGGGGCAAGCGUUAUCCGGAAUUACUGGGUGGAAAGGGAGCGUAGCGGGCAAUGUAAGUCCGGAGUGGAAUGCGGCGGCUCAACUGCCGAACUGCUCUGGAAACUGUAUGGCUUGAGUACAGGAGGGGUAAGCGGAAUUCCUGGUGUAGCGGUGAAAUGCGUAGAUAUCAGGAAGAACACCGGUGGCGAAGGCAGCUUACUGGGCUGUAACUGACGUUGAGGCACGAAAGCGUGGGGAGCAAACAGGAUUAGAUACCCUAGUAGUC